Cataglyphis hispanica is the source of this 1218-nucleotide long non-coding RNA. RefSeq lists it as uncharacterized. The record is from RefSeq and is a predicted model, not a curated record. The transcript has 3 exons. NCBI's taxonomy places the organism in Eukaryota, Metazoa, Arthropoda, Insecta, Hymenoptera, Formicidae.
GACCGAAGAAAGUUCUUGACGCCAGUCGCUGAUUACACCCAGUCAUUCCAAGACGCAACGGGUAAAAAGCAUCGUCACACUGCUUUUCGAGGAGGAAAUCACCCACCGGCGAAGAACUCGCCCGAUGCCACAGCACCAAGCGAUUAAGAGAAGAAGAGUGGAAGGUGAUCAGCCAACAGCCAGCUUCCUGCCGUCGUCAUCCUCCGGCACUCGAUCAUCGAUGACCACCGGUGCUCGCCUGUCGUCGUUCAUCGGUACACGCUCACCAAUGAUCACAUGGUACUGCUCGCCGAUCUCUAUUAGCGACAGUUCACUGACAUCUACCGGCGGUUAUCCGCUGUCGCCAAUAAGCGUUAACUCUCCUGUAACCGCAGGAGUCUGGUUACCGUAUAGCGUCCGUUUACCAGCAGAAUUAGACGCUGGUUCCGGCACACGGGAGUGAUGAAAAUAUUUCGGAAUGCGCAGUAGUGCAAAUGUCAUAAAGUCUUAAUAGCGUAUAAUGUAUAUUGAAAUAAGAGUACCAUUAUACUCCUUACAAGGAAAAAAUAGAUAAUGUUGAAUGAAAUAAUAUAUAAUUUGGUUUUUAAAAUUUAUUUUGUUUAUCUUUGAAGAGAUUACAGGAUUUUAAUAUAUCAUUAACAUGAAUAUUAACAAAAACAAAAGAAAAUUUAUUUAGACUUUAAAAAGUGCCCUAAAUCACAUCUUAGCACGAGUCUGCCGAGAUCGGUGACAUGGGGUAGUGACGUCAUUCACGUAUGCGCAGAGGUUCUGCUCUUGGGAUAAUUCUCAUGAGUUUUCAUCACUGGCGCAUGGUCGCACAAUACUCGGACUGCGAACAGAAUUCAGCGACCAGCCAUCUCCAGCGCCGAAACUCGACGGAGACGGAAAGGCCGGCCCGUAUUUUCAGAAAACGUAGAGCGGAUCCCGGCCUCACCUACAAUAACGUGGUAUUCACCACCGCUAAUCUCGCUCAUUUUUUCAUUCAAUUAAGAUCUCGCCCAUCAAGAGAUCAUAUCCGUCUCCGCUAGUUAAGAGAUCUGCCCCGAGGAAAACUUGUGGAACACAAACCAUCCUGGUCAGGAUCUCUAGUCCAAAGAGGACUACCAGGAUGCCGCGACCCAGACAAAAAAGCGUGGGAGAAAAACGGCGACAAUUGUUCAAUAACAACAAUGUACAAUUUGAAACAUUAAUUGUACAGAUAGUUUUAAGAAUAAAUCU